AUUGAACGCUGGCGGCAGGCCUAACACAUGCAAGUCGAACGAGUGGCGGACGGGUGAGUAAUGUCUGGGAAACUGCCUGGUAGCGGGGGAUAACUUCUGGAAACGGGCGCUAAUACCGCAUACUAUCAGAUGACCCCAGGUGGGAUUAGCUAGUUGGUGGGGUAAAGGCCUACCAAGGCGACGAUCCGUAACUGGUCUGAGAGGAUGAUCAGACACACUGGAACUGAGACACGGUCCAGACUCCUACGGGAGGCAGCAGUGGGGAAUAUUGGACAAUGGGCGAAAGCCGGAUCCAGCCAUGCCGCGUGAAUGAAGAAGGCCUUCGGGUUGUAAAGUACUUUCGGCAGGGAGGCGUUACCCGCAGAAGAAGCACCGGCUAACUCCGUGCCAGCCGCCGCGGUAAUUC
RNAcentral lists this ribosomal RNA (406 nucleotides) under uncultured bacterium. Its description in RNAcentral is "partial 16S ribosomal RNA". It matches the Rfam family "Bacterial small subunit ribosomal RNA", at positions 30 to 526 of the family's 1533-position model. The record is from RNAcentral.